AGUAUACAAUUUAUUUCUCCAUGGGCAACAAGACAUGCCAGCAACUGCACGGCUACUUCUCCAUUUAGCCAGACAGAGAAUAAAGGGUCCCUGUAUUCAUGCCUUCCUGGAAAUCUCAGUGCAAGGCCCUAUCAGGAGGUUUCCUGGAGCAGCUAAGGGAACAGCUAGACCACCCAGGAAGAAAUGACAGAAGCCUACCUGACUUCCAAUCUGCUUGCUUCAUGGUGUAAUGGGGGCCUAGACAGAAGCACCCCAAGGACACUUACAACAACUGUUCUGCCAGCUCUAGUCCAUUGGAGAAGAUGUGCCAACAUACCUUCUCACCAUCCCUAGAGCCCAACCUUGCUAUGGAAAGGUCAAACCCUUACCAUUGGCCCUGCCAAGGAUCCCCAGACAGAGAAGCACAAUGGAGGCCAUAAAUUAUGGCUUCUUAUCAUGGCCUCCACAUAACUUAAACUCUGGAUGGUGAAUGAAAUCUGGGGCCAAGUCUUAAAGGGUCAGGGUAGCCAAUGAGCAUAACUCAAUAUUUGUGUUUCUAAGAGAAAACCACAGAACCUCCAUAUCCAUGGCAAACUGGCCAGCCACAGGCUGGAUCCAGUGUGCAGUAGUGUUUUGUGUACACCAUUCACUAUUUGUCUACUUGGGUUAAAAAUGUUUUAUAUUAGUUAGCAAUGUUUAAACAUUGGGAGAAUUAAAGGGAAAUGAAAACGUACUUCCCACAAAUACUUGCACAUAAAUAUUCACAGCAGCAUUGUUUAUAAUUGCCCAAAACUAGAAACAACCCAAAUAUCCAUCAACUGAUGAAUGAUAAACAAGUUGUGGUAUAUUCAUCCAAUAAAACAAUAUUCAGCAAUAAAAAUAAACAAAUCAGGCACUUAAUAUAAUUGAAUAUCAAGGUCAUUAUGUUGAGUGAAAGAGGCCAGAAAAUAAAAGUAUACACUAUUUGAUUCCAUUUAUAUAAUAUUCUAGAAAAUGAAAACCAGUCUAUACUUACAGAAAACAAGGUGGUAGCUUACAGAGAUGGGGUAGAGGGAGGGAGAGAUGACAGAGAGGCAUAAAAAAACUUUCCGGACAAUGAAAAUGUUCUGUAUUUUAAUUGUGGUGAUGGUUUCAUGGAUGUACAAGUUCAUCAAAUCUCAUCAAGUUAAAUAUAUGCAUUUAUUUUAUAUUAAGUGUACCUCAAUAAAGCAGAAAAAUUUAAAAUUGGUAAUAUUUAUAUACAAA
This is a long non-coding RNA of Homo sapiens (human), 1224 nucleotides long. RefSeq lists it as uncharacterized. The record is from RefSeq and is a predicted model, not a curated record. Lineage: Eukaryota; Metazoa; Chordata; Mammalia; Primates; Hominidae. The transcript has 2 exons.